Molecule: ribosomal RNA, 654 nt
Filed under: uncultured Neocallimastigales
Lineage: Eukaryota; Fungi; Neocallimastigomycota; Neocallimastigomycetes; Neocallimastigales
Description: eukaryotic LSU rRNA
Rfam family: 5.8S ribosomal RNA (bases 229-383)
Source: RNAcentral
GACUGCGGAGAUCAUUAAAAAAUAAUCACAGUUUUGUGAUUUUAAUAAUCAUCCUACCCUUUGUGAAUUUGUUUUGUAAAGAAAAUUUAUGUUGUCUAUCCCUGGUGGUUUUUUGGAAAAGUUGAAAAACUUUUUCGAAUCCUCAGGGACUAGGCUUUCAUAGACCUUUUUUUAAAUUAAACUUUUUGUAUUCAUUUGUCUAAAAUUUAUUUUUAAUAAUUUAAAAACAACUUUUGACAAUGGAUCUCUUGGUUCUCGCAACGAUGAAGAACGCAGCAAAAUGCGAUAAGUAAUGUGAAUUGCAGAAUACGUGAAUCAUCAAAUCUUCGAACGCAUAUUGCACUUUUCUAGUUUACUAGAAAAGUAUGUCUGUUUGAGUAUCAGUAAAAUAUUCUCAUAAAAAACAUUGUUUUUUAUGGUUAUGAGUGUUUUACAACGAUAAACAAGUUGUUUCACUUUAAAUUGAUUUUUAAAAGCCAAUUUUUGGUUUUAUCUAAUAAAAUUGGAUAAAAUUUUCCCGUAAAAAGGAAUAACUUUUCAGUUUUAAUAGUUAAAACUUAAUUGUGCCUAAUUAAAAGGAAAUUUAACAAAAUAACUUGAUCUCAAAUCAGAUAAGAGUACCCGCUGAACUUAAGCAUAUCAAUAAGCGGAGGA